RNA transcript from Vigna angularis (adzuki bean), 2825 nucleotides. It is a transcript of the gene named transcription termination factor MTEF18, mitochondrial, with no coding region annotated. The transcript has 2 exons. The record is from RefSeq and is a predicted model, not a curated record. Lineage: Eukaryota; Viridiplantae; Streptophyta; Magnoliopsida; Fabales; Fabaceae.
ACAAAGAUGAAUUGAAGAUAGAACGAGAAACCAAACCCUGGCUGGGUUUGGAACAGACAUGUCUCUCCACCGCCAUAUUUGCAGAACCUCAAAGCUAUCAAAGAUCCCUUGGAAGUACAAGCAGUUCGCCAUAGCACAGGGGCAGAAGUCUGUUACUGAUUAUCUCCACGCCACGCGCUGCAUUCCUUACGCCUUCGCUGAUCAAAUAUCCAAGAACUCCAACAAUGCCCUCAUGAAUCUCAUCACCAAGCUCAGUGCUUUCUCCCCUCCCCACUAUCCCCACAACCUCAACAAGUUCCUCAGGUACAACCCCAUCAACGAAUUCGAGUUCUUCUUUGAGAGCAUUGGCAUACACCCUUCAAAGUUCCCCUCUUUGUUUCCCCAGAACAAGUUCUUCUUUUCAGAAGAUGAGACCCUUUUGGAUACUGCUUGUGUUCUCAGCGAAUAUGGGUUUCCCUGGGACAAGCUUGGGGUGCUGUAUGAGGAGAGUGGGUGGGUGUUCAACUGGGGUGCUUCUGAAUUGAAGGAUAGGCUUUGUGGGUUCAAAGGGUAUGGUUUUUGCAAUGUGCAGGUUGUGGGGAUAUGCUUGGCUUUCCCAUUUGUGUUUGAUGGCCAGAAGGGUGCUGAGAUUGACGCUUUGUUUUGUGAUCUGAGGUUGCUGUUUGGGAAGUUUGGUUUGGCUGAGUGUGUUGAAGAGAAGGGGAAUGGUGUGGAUGAUUGGGUUGGGUUGUGUAGGAAGAUAAGGUUGUUUUAUGAUUUGAAUGGAGGGAAGAACAUAGGGGAGUUAAUUGGAGGUAACAAUGGCGUUGGUGUAGGUGGUGUUGUUGAGCAUGGGGAAGAGGAGUUGGUUCAAGCAAUUGAGUAUUUUUGUAGGUUUGGUGCGAAGAAAGAGGACGUGGCACGAUUGAUUUUGAAUGGACCGGAAUUGUUGGAGAUUGUUUUGAAGACGGGGAAGGUCAAUGUGUUGAAGCUGUUGAAACACUUUGGAAUGAGUUCCAAUGAUGUUAAUAUUGUUAAGAGGGACUAUGCUCAUGUGUUGGGGACAGUCAAGCUGUGUAACCUGCCAAAUGUGAUGAGAGCUUUGGGUUUACAUGAGUGGUUCUUUGAGAAGAUGAAGGAUGGGAAUCAUAGUUUGUUGGUUAGUUUUGUCGCGAACAAUCGCAAAGUGGACCGAGUUAAAGGUUAUCCAAGUUUUUUGAAGGCUAUUGAGGUGUCUAAAACUCCAAUUCACAAUAUGAGUAAGUUGAACUUCUUGCAUGGCAUUGGCUUUGGAGAAAAUGCUUUGACCAUGUAUAUUUUCUCUUACAUGCACGGAACAAGUGAUGAGUUACAAAAGAGAUUUGAUUGCCUUCUACAUCUUGGAAUUGAGUUUUCAAAGCUCUGUAAAAUGAUCACGGUUCAUCCCAAGAUUCUUAGCCAAAACCCUGAAAGUUUGGAGCAAAAGAUCAAUUUCUUGUGUCAGGAAAUGGGACAGUCACUUGAGAUUUUGGUGACUUUUCCAUCAUUCUUGUGCUUUGACUUAGAGAAUCGCAUUAAGCCCAGGUAUAAGUUCCAUUUGUGGCUUAUGGAAAAGGGUCUGUCUUCCAAAAGAUAUUCUAUUGCAAGCAUGGUUGCAACAAGUAACAGGAAUUUAGUUUCCCGUGCUUUUAAAAUCCACCCUGCUGCUCCGAAACAUUGGUUUGAGCAAUUUUAUCCCAGAAAUUUGCCAAUAUGAUGACUAUGUUUUUUCUAACAAUUGUCUUUGAAACUCCAGCAAUUAUUUCAAAUGACGUUGUAAAGAUUCUUAAACUUUGUUACUUCCUCUGUUCUGGUUUGGAGUUGAAGACAGACCAUUCAAUGUUGUUGGAGAACUCGUGAACAGUGGUUUAUUUCCUUCGCAAUGGUAGUGAGAAAUCAAGAAUGACCUGCAAAUUUCUUAUCAUGGUUUCUUCAUUUCCAAUGACCUCAUCUCUGUUAGCAAUUAUUUCAAAUGACGUUGUAAAGAUUCUUAAACUUUGUUACUUCCUCUGUUCUGGUUUGGAGUUGAAGACAGACCAUUCAAUGUUGUUGGAGAACUCGUGAACAGUGGUUUAUUUCCUUCGCAAUGGUAGUGAGAAAUCAAGAAUGACCUGCAAAUUUCUUAUCAUGGUUUCUUCAUUUCCAAUGACCUCAUCUCUGUUCUGAUUUCUGAGAUAAAUCACAAAUUCGGUGACCAGUUAUUUAUGCUUCUUCUAGGUGAUUAUAUCAGAGGUAGGUUGACCAUUUCGAGUCCAAGGAACUGAGAACCAACCCAUCCUUCACCAGGGAGGGCCAAAAAGUUACUGUCUAUGUAACACCUGGUAAUGGACCUUUGGGUUGAAAAUCAAUAAAACCCUUUGUGGAAGACCAUCUCAUCAUUCCUGAAAAUUUUCAUGUUACCACAUUUUAAAAAUACCAGAGUGGCAGGUGAUAAGAAAUUGCAUGAUGGAAAGUAAUAUGAAGUGCAAUUCCAAGGACUGUUGCAUGUUAUACUAGAGCAAUCUUGGUCUUCAUUUUGUUGCAGAAAAAAAUUGGAAGAUUGUUCAAAUGAAUGCAAGUCUAUGAUCCAUUCUGUUUCUGCAGGAAUGCUUCUGGGACCAUUACUAGCUCUUCUAAUGUUUUGAUGGUUCUUGUUUAGUUUUUUAUGCAGCAGGCAUCUUUGUGUAUUAGCUUUCAAAUGAGAGUUCUGUAAAAGUUUCACAGAAAAUCUAUCUGGAAUCGAUUUAGACUAGUAUCUGUCAGAUUGAAUUGCACUGCAACUUCUAUUACUGUGAUUCUGGACUUGUGUUACUAAAAUUUUACUCAUGUCAUGGUGGUAAGUUGGUAAA